Long non-coding RNA from Medicago truncatula (barrel medic), 438 nucleotides. RefSeq lists it as uncharacterized. The record is from RefSeq and is a predicted model, not a curated record. The transcript is spliced from 2 exons. NCBI's taxonomy places the organism in Eukaryota, Viridiplantae, Streptophyta, Magnoliopsida, Fabales, Fabaceae.
UCAUGUGUUGAACAUAUGUUGUAGCAAGAAUAAUGUCUUCAAAGAGGUUCUUCCUGAUUUGGGGGGUUCUCUUUCUUUGUGUGUUGAGUUUUUCUACCAAACCAUUAGCAAGGAACAUUCCUAAUGUUUCUGAAUUCUACUCAGGUGCAAAUGAAAUGGGUCCAAAUAAAAGAUUCCUUGGUCAAGAAAAUAAACGACCUCCGUGUAAGAGGGGAAUAGUGACUUAUGCUGUGAGGCAAGACGAUCCACGUUGCCACCACUAUUUAUGAUAUGUUGUUGAAAAAUAUGGAAUUCUCAUUAAAACAAUGAAUAUUAAUUGAUACUAUUUAUUUAUUGUUUUUGACAAAUUUAAGUGAUACUCAUAUACUAUUUAUGUUAUAUUCUAGUGUGUGCUUGUAUUUUAAUUAUUAUAAAUUUGUUAUAAUUUAAUUCCGACUA